Molecule: ribosomal RNA, 2523 nt
Filed under: Triticum aestivum (bread wheat)
Lineage: Eukaryota; Viridiplantae; Streptophyta; Magnoliopsida; Poales; Poaceae
Description: partial small subunit ribosomal RNA
Source: RNAcentral
AUGAGCUCAGAGAAAGAGAGAGAGAGGAUAGGCUCCGCGGCGAAUGCUGCGGAAGCAAUCCUGCUCACCUUGAAGAGCCUCUUCAAGCAAGACAAUGUUACUGGCGUGGCCAGUGUGGAGCUGUGGGUGCUGUUGACGACGGUGCUACUGGUGUGGAGGUUCGUCCUCGACUUCUCCGGGCCAUGGUUUGGGAAGCCGAGCAGGAUGGUUGCUGUGGUCACCUUGGAGAUACUCAACCAAAACUUGGUGAUCUACACCAUGGGACUGAUGCAACUAUCGGGUGUGAAGGUGAACGACUACUUCCAGGUGUGGGCGGUUCUGCUUGUCACCCUGCAGUACAGCGUCAAGGUCGGGCGGCCAUACACCCGGUCCAAGCAGGUCCCAAUGCUGGAUCUGAUGUCCUCCUUCUGGUCCGCCAAUCUCCUCCGGGUGCAGACCUUCAACCUCCUCCGGUUCCCCCUCUGGUUGAUCUGGUCCCUGAAUGCGGUUCGCAUCAUUGUGCUCUUCCUCACCACCGGCAAAGGGGAGACUAACAACCAAGAGAGCAUGCGGCUGGUGAGUGACUACAUGAGCUAUGAGGGCGAUCUAUCUGCUGGCGGUGACCCGCAGGUAUCAGAAUCAGACAUGAGGGGGUGCAAGUACCUGGUGCAUGGGGAGCACCGGGUGUUGAAGGAGAUACAAGAAGGCCCGCGAGGGGGAACAAGAACACUGUUUUCUUGCUUCAGAAGGAAGAGGGAAAUACGCGGGUCUGACAGGAGCUACAAGAUUCGGCUGGAUCCAGAUGGAGUCCACAAGAAUCAGCUCGUCACAGUGGACAAGAUAUGGCACGGCAGCAGCAACGGCAGGUUGUUGGGAGACGCAGAAGACCCUAACAAACAGCGCAAGGACCUGUGCCUCUCCUUCUCGCUGUACAAGCUGCUGCGCCGUCAGUUCUAUGAUCUCCCAGUGCAUGAGCUGAAGAGGCCGCAGGGGAAGGAGAAGAUCCGCAAGCUCGUCUUCGACUACAUCCUCAACGACUGCGAGAGGGCGUUCCGCAUCGUAGGGGUGGAGCUGUCCUUCCUCCAAGACCUGUUCUACAGCAAGCACGCCGCCGUGUUUGCCGGCGGACUAAUGGUGCCGCUCCGAAGCCUGCUGCUGUCGCUGUCUUUGGCCACGGCGACAGGGUACAUCGCGUAUCCUGCCCGGCGCAUACCCGAGCGGAUGGAUCCAGCGGACCGGAACAGGAUCACACACGGCGUGUUCAUCACACGCCUCAUGGUCGGCAUCAUCGUUCUCAAGGAGCUCCUGGAAAUUGUUCUCUAUGUGCUGUCACGGUGGGCCAAGGUUCUGGUGCUGUGCAAGUACCUCCAGCAUCGGUGCCUGCGGCGUCCGGUGGUGGAGAUGGCGAUGAGAUUCAUGCUCUUUUCCGGUAGCAGAGCCAAAUGGAGUCAGACCAUCAGGCAGCAGAACCUUCUUGUUGGUGCUACAACCAGUGUUCUGAGGCCAACAGGUGUGCUGCCUCCGCUUACAUGGACGCUGGUGCUCCGUCGAGGGGUAGUUACCGGAAAAACCGCCCUCAAGGAUUACACCAAGAAUGCGAUAUUAGAAUCGCUCAAGAAGUUGGAGAAGUCGGCUCAAAAAAAGAAGUUGGAGAACUCAGCUCAAAAAAAGAAGUUGGAGAACUUGGACAAGAAGGAAGGGCUAGCGAUGGAUAACUACUUCUCAAAUGCCUUCAAAUCAGACAAGAGGGUGGUGAAGUGGCCAAGAAACCUCAAGGUAGACACCCACAUCAUACUGGUCUGGCACAUCGCCACCAGCCUCUGCGAGAUCUACUUCCACAACAAAGUCCAGAACCUCAGGGCUGUGCGGCGACCGCAGCCUUUCGUGCAGGAUCCAAAUUGGAUUCGCAACGAACGGUUUGAGCAGUACGCGACUGCAGCCACCUUAUCCAACUAUUGUGCGUAUCUGGUCAGGAAGGCACUGGUGCCGGACAAUCCCAUUGUCGCCGGAAUGGUCCUUGAUGAGGUAAUCAAAGAAAUUAACCACCUUAGUUCCAAGUUCAGUAUCAAGCCUCGACUCAUGCAACUGCAAGACGUGUACAAGAGCCUUAUGGAGACAGUCGACAAACCAUGCACGAACCGUGAUCACUAUCAGAUCUUUGGCUGGGGCGAUGACGUGGAAGCAGUAACACGAGAGGGAAUCGGUCGAGUGAGAAAAAAACAACAUGAACAAGGCCUCCACAUUGGGUGCUCCUUAACAAGGAUGGGUGCAGAGCUUGGGAUGCACCUAAGAGAGGUGUAUAGAGGCGACGCAGCAGGCCUUUGGAGGGACCUGGCCAACUUCUGGACGGGGUUCCUCCCCCACCAGGCCAUGAACACGAGCGCAGCCACGCACGGGAAGCACCUCGCCGGCGACAGUGAGCUCAUCACACACCUGUGGGCGCUGCUCUCACACGCCGGCUUCCACGGGAACGCCAACGACGGCGAGGAGGGGCAAGACAACGAGAACGCCCCUGAUCUCGACCUGGCAGUACAAAAUGCAUGA